UACGAUCACUGGUUUAUUUGU
Molecule: non-coding RNA, 21 nt
Filed under: Caenorhabditis elegans
Lineage: Eukaryota; Metazoa; Nematoda; Chromadorea; Rhabditida; Rhabditidae
Source: RNAcentral